This 74-nucleotide transfer RNA is filed under the name Lactococcus cremoris subsp. cremoris TIFN7. RNAcentral describes it as "Lactococcus lactis subsp. cremoris TIFN7 tRNA-Asp". It matches the Rfam family "tRNA". Rfam says of the family: Transfer RNA (tRNA) molecules are approximately 80 nucleotides in length. Their secondary structure includes four short double-helical elements and three loops (D, anti-codon, and T loops). Lineage: Bacteria; Bacillati; Bacillota; Bacilli; Lactobacillales; Streptococcaceae. The record is from RNAcentral.
GGUUCUGUAGUGUAGCGGUUAUCACGUCGCCCUGUCACGGCGAAGAUACGCGGGUUCGAUUCCCGUCAGAACCG